RNAcentral lists this ribosomal RNA (493 nucleotides) under uncultured bacterium. RNAcentral's name for it is "bacterial SSU rRNA". It matches the Rfam family "Bacterial small subunit ribosomal RNA", at positions 8 to 518 of the family's 1533-position model. The record is from RNAcentral.
AGAGUUGAUCCUGGCUUAGGACGAACGCUGGCGGCGUGCCUAACACAUGCAAGUCGAGCGAGGAGAUUCCUUCGGGAUGAUCCUAGCGGCGGACGGGUGAGUAACACGUGGGCAACCUGCCUCAUAGAGAGGAAUAGCCUUCCGAAAGGGAGAUUAAUACCUCAUAACAUUGCAGUUUCGCAUGGAACAGCAAUUAAAGGAGUAAUCCGCUAUGAGAUGGGCCCGCGGCGCAUUAGCUAGUUGGUGAGGUAACGGCUCACCAAGGCGACGAUGCGUAGCCGACCUGAGAGGGUGAUCGGCCACAUUGGGACUGAGACACGGCCCAGACUCCUACGGGAGGCAGCAGUGGGGAAUAUUGCACAAUGGGGGAAACCCUGAUGCCAGCAACGCCGCGUGAGUGAUGACGGCCUUCGGGUUGUAAAGCUCUGUCUUCAGGGACGAUAAUGACGGUACCUGAGGAGGAAGCCACGGCUAACUACGUGCCAGCCGCGGC